Panicum virgatum (switchgrass) is the source of this 362-nucleotide long non-coding RNA. RefSeq lists it as uncharacterized. The record is from RefSeq and is a predicted model, not a curated record. The transcript is spliced from 2 exons. NCBI's taxonomy places the organism in Eukaryota, Viridiplantae, Streptophyta, Magnoliopsida, Poales, Poaceae.
CCCACCUAGAGGUAGAGCGUAGUCUCCUCGUGCUAUUCCCCCUGUUCCCCCUCGCCGCCGUCGACCCUAGGCGCCGAAAUCCGGCCACCCGCCCCUCCUCUGUUUCCCAACCCGGCCAGGGACCCACGGUACGAUAGAUGAACCACGUGAGGGAUGUGACAUUGAAGCCGAGCUAGAAGACGGUGAAUGGUGGACACAUCUAGAAGAUGGAUGGAUGGAUCCCGAUGUGCAUGACCGAAGGCAGAUGCUCGCCAAGCAAGUAUCAUCUAACUAACACUGACUCAGUGUUAAUCCCAGACAAGCCCCGGAGCAUAACCUAUUAUUUUAACUUAAGAAAUGUUAUAUAUGUAUUUAUUUGCUUA